AAAUCAUGAGGGCAUUUCUUAAGCAUUUCUUGAAAUCUCUCUCAACUUUAAUAAAUUUACUCUCCCUUAAUUUAUGCAAAAGAAGUGAUAUCAUUUCUAAGUUU
Molecule: small nucleolar RNA, 104 nt
Organism: Dendrobium catenatum
Lineage: Eukaryota; Viridiplantae; Streptophyta; Magnoliopsida; Asparagales; Orchidaceae
Source: RefSeq, a predicted model, not a curated record